GCCCUCUCAGGGUCACACCUGGAGAGUUUCCAGUACUCUGCCAGUUUCUACUACAGGAGGGAGAGUCAAGCAGAGGCCUACCUACUCCAUUCCUAGCUUGGGCAGUUGCUAGUGAGUGGAUGGCAAUCUCCUACAAGU
Ornithorhynchus anatinus (platypus) is the source of this 138-nucleotide non-coding RNA. Lineage: Eukaryota; Metazoa; Chordata; Mammalia; Monotremata; Ornithorhynchidae. The record is from Rfam.